This 288-nucleotide unclassified non-coding RNA is filed under the name Phlebicolorata brevispora. RNAcentral describes it as "Phlebia brevispora partial contains 5.8S ribosomal RNA, internal transcribed spacer 2, and large subunit ribosomal RNA". Lineage: Eukaryota; Fungi; Basidiomycota; Agaricomycetes; Polyporales; Meruliaceae. The record is from RNAcentral.
CGCACCUUGCGCUCCUUGGUAUUCCGAGGAGCAUGCCUGUUUGAGUGUCAUGAAAUUCUCAACCUUCAAAACUUCUUUGUUGCGAAGGCUUGGACUUGGAGGUCGUGUCGGCGUCGCUGUCGACUCCUCUGAAAUGCAUUAGCGUGAAUCUUACGGAUCGCCUUCGGUGUGAUAAUUUCUGCGCCGCGGCCGUGAAGUAUAAUAGUGUUCGUGCUUACAACUGUCUGCAAAGACAAUUCUUCUUGACAAUCUGACCUCAAAUCAGGUAGGACUACCCGCUGAACUUAA